CUGGGCUUCCUCUCUUUGUUCAUCCUCUUCUCUCUCAAUUUCUUUUUCCUUCUCAUCUGUAUACUCAUCUCCUCCUGGUUCCUCCACACCUUUAGCCUCCAUACUGUCAGCCUUCUUCUGACCUUUGGACUUCUCUUCCUUGGCCUCUGUCUCUUCCCUACUCCCUUCUCUCAAUCUGACUUUUGUCUCUUGGCUUCCCCCAGCCUCCCCUCUAUCCUCACUGGCCUUUCCAGCCUCCACCUUGGUCUCUGGACUUCCCUCUGCCUCUUCCCUGAUGUCUAGCCUGCCUCCAGGCUCAGCCUGCUUGUCCUCCCCAACUUCCCAGCAUGCCUGCUCUUCCCCACCCUGUCCCAGAGCCUGCCUUCCACAUCCUGCUGCCUCUCCCUCCAGACUCCCUGAACCCUUCCAGAUUGGGGGUUUAGGUCCCAGAAGGGGACUUAGGUCAUCAUAGGCACUCAGGAAAACUUCCUCCCCAUUUUCCUCCUCAACUUCAGGCCUGGGGCCAGCGGAGUCCAGGGAACAGCAGCUGGGGGCCAAGACAAACUGUGCCUCAUCCAGAGACAGGUCAUCCAGGGGUGGCUCCACAGAGAACUCCUCCACCUGUAGGCACAGCAUUGUGACUCAGGACCAGGAGGCCCUGUCCACCCUUGACUCCAUGCCACCCCCAAACCCAGCACGGCUCUCCUUACCUGAGGCCCAACUCCCAGGAGCUCCUCCAGGUAGCCCAUCCCAGGGUCGUCCUCCCCAGGGGAGAAGGCUGCUCCUGCUGCUUCUGCCUGGGCCACCUCCCCAUCCUCUGCCCCCACCCACUCAGGUUCUGAGCUGCUUGAGUCCUCUAGGAAGGAGAAGGAGUCCUGCACCUCCUGGGACAGCGAGUCCUCCAGGGCAGGAGCCAAGUCGUCUGGGCCUGAGUCUGCCAGGGGACUUGAGGCUGGACUUGCUUCCAACUUUUCAUCUGUUGGGGGAGAAGUAGUCCCAGGAAUACAAAGGUCAAGCCCUGACCCUUUUCAGUGUGAGUCCUCCUAGCAUUGAUAUAGCAGGGGCCCAGCACUCCCAGCAUUGCUACUCUGCAUGACUGAUCCUUUCAGACCAAUGUCCCUAGUUAUUGGCUUGCUACCUUAAUUGAGACCCUACCAGGUGCCAAGCACUGUGCUAUGUAUUUUACAAUGCAUUGGCAUUUUUUCCUCCAAACUAUUAUGUGGGGUAUUGUCCUCAUUUUACAUAUGAGGAAACUGAGGCUCAGAGAGAUUAAGCAAUUUGUCUAAGGUCAUGUAAUGAAUAAGCAGUACAGCCAAAAUUUGAACCCAAGUCUACUUAACUCUAUAGCCCAUGUUCUUACCCACUAUCCUAUCCUGCCUCAGGACUUCUCAUGAGUGACACUUCAGGAACUGGAGUCAGAGCAAGGAUCAGAUCCUAGCUCUGCUACUUCUACCUAAAUCAAUUGCAAAUUGAUUAACCUAAGUCUCAGUUUCCACUGCUGUAACAUAAGGCUAACAAUACCUAUGUCAUAAGAUUAUGAGAAAAUGAAACAAACCAAUCCUGCAAUCACAGCACUUGGACCUUUUUUUUUUUUUUUUUUUUUGAGACGGAGUCUUGCUAUGUCUCCCAGGCUGGAGUGCAGUGGCGCAAUCUCAGCUCACUGCAACCUCCACCUCCUGGGUUGAACCAAUUCUCCUGCCUCAGCCUUCUGAGUCUCUGGGAUUACAGGCAUGCCUCACCACGCACGCCUGGCUAAUUUUUUUUUAAUUUUUUUUAGUAGAGACGGGGUUUCACCAUGUUGACCAGGCUGGUCUCGAACUCCUGACCUCCAGUGAUCCACCCUCCUCAGCUUCCCAAAGUGUUGGGAUUACAGGUGUGAGCCACCGUGCCUGGCCUAGCACUUGGUACUUAAUAAACUGUUUUUUGUUUUUUUUUUUUUAAUUUGAGACAGAGUUUUGCUCUUGUCGCCCAGGCUAGAGUGCAGUGGCGUGAUCUCGGCUCGCUGCAGCCUCUGCCUCCUGGGUUCAAGCGAUUCUCCUGCCUCAGCCUCCCAAGGAGCUGGGACCGCAGGCAUCUGCCACCACACCUGGCCAGUUUUUUGCAUUUUUAGUAGAGAUGGGGUUUCGCCAUGUUGGGCAGGCUGGUCUUGAACUCCUGACCUCAGGUGAUCUGCCUGCCUAGGCAUCCCAAAGUGCUGGGUUUACAGGCAUGAGCCACGGCGCCUGGCUGGUACUUAAUAAACUCUUGCUAAAUGUUAGCUGAUAGUAUUGAUGUUACUAUUAUUGUUACCCAUCCAUCUAUUAUAUAUUCCCACAUUUGUCCUUAGUAAUCCCUGCUGUAUGUUUCUGACACAGGCCCCUAUUCUUGGGUACAUCAAUGUUCUGAAGGCUGCUAGAGAUCUCCUCUCCAUAGAUUUCACAUAGCCUGAUAAUAUUACUGGAUUUCCCUAAUCCUGAAUCUAGGGAGGCAGCUAAAGGUAACCACCCCAAAGCCCAAGGGCUGAGGCCUCUGCCCUUCCUAGGGUGGAUCUUCCAGCAUCAGAGCUUCAGCCUAGAGUUCCAGUCCCCUUUCCUAGUCUUGGUCAAUCAAUGGGUCCUCACCUGGGGGGCCAGGGCCAAGGCCAGGGCCAGGGCCAGGGCCAGAGGCAGGGCUUGGCCGGUGCUGUAGAGCAGGGCACUCAAGGCCACGGGUGAGCCUGGCCAAGGAAACGUUAGAGAUGAUGUUCGGGGGCACACUGAGGAUAGAGGUGAUGUGUAGCGGGAGGUUGACAUUGUAGGGGUCUGAGAUGUGGACACCAGCACAGCGUUCUGCACGGCUGCUGCCCCCAGCCCGGAUGGCUGACCGCCCAGCUCGUGGUGUGCCUGGUUCAGAGUUUGUGCCACCCAGUGCUUCUGCCUCAGGCUCCUGUUCACCCUCUGCUGCCUCUAUAGAAUCGUUCUCCAAGCUCUCAGGCAGCAAUGGGCUUGGCCGGGGGCUGCUGGGCCCCACCAGCCCCUCUGGCUCUGUGGAGGAAAAAGAGGGCCAGGUAGGCAAUAGCCUAAACUCCAAGGGGCCUAGACAUCUCAAGAAGGCUCUGGAGAAUGCUCUCUGCUUUCUCAGGCUUGAAAGCAACGAUAGCCUGGAAGGCACCAGGCCCAGCUUCUUUUGAUCACUACUGCAAACUUUUCACCCAGCCAGUAGGUCAAAGAUCACCUCACCUUCACAUACCUAGGGAACUCCCUUCCUUCCCUGCAGAUACAGUCACUGGCCGUUGUCACCACCACCACCACCACCACCACCACCACCACCACCACCACCACCACCACCACCACCACCACCACCACCACCACCACCACCACCACCACCACAUACCCAUGCUGUCCCAUCCCAUACGAACACUCAUCAACAAAGUCAUAGAUUAGACAAUCAACUCACCGUAGCAUUCAGCUACAUUUACAAUGUGGCUGGUAUAUAAUAGGCACUCAUUAAAUAUUUUUUGAAAUUAUUGAACACAGUUGGCUGCAUGUACACACAAGCCCACGCUGGUCACAUAGCACACACACAUACACACAGAAAUGCACCCCUAUACUCACCAUCACUGGCCCCAGCUGCAGCACUCAGUGAGUCCAUGCUUUUGGCUGGCCGCAGUGUCCCCUUGUUGGAUUUAUCCUCUGUAAGACAGGGAUGUGUGUAGAGCCAGGGCCUUGUGCACCCUCAGCAGAGCUCCCCCCAUCUCCCCAGACUUACCCCUGUCCUCAGCCCCCCGUGGAAGUUUACGCUUAGUCUCAUGGCCAGAGCGACCUAAAUUGAAGAUAGACCUCCACUUCCUGACCUUCAAAGACCCCUUCCUCCUACAAAGAAUGGAGGGGCAUAAUUGGAGGUUGGAACAUGAAGGUCGGUGCAGGGGAGGAAGGCCCAGGAAGGAGGCCUUACUUGUGCUCUGCAAUCUCGAUGAUAGUAUGGUAGGGCCGCAUCUGUGGGGGUCCAUCGCCAGCCUGCAGUAUGCUAGGCAGGUGAUAAGGCAGUGGCCUGGGCAUAAGGUCCUCGGGGCUGCCUGAUGCCCGGGUCCCUGGAAGCGAUCGCCACCCACUCUCCACCUCACCACCUGGGAAAAGAAAAGGAAUUGGCCAGCCAGGAACAGAGCCAAGAGAGGGACCUCAGGCACCCAAUCCUUCAUCACCCCUCGCCAACUACCAGGUUAGGGAUAUAUUCAGAAGCCCCUGAAGACAGUGCCUCCAUGUCCAUCACCUCAAAAGAGUGCCCUCAUGGACAAAGAGGGCUGGGAGAUCCGAGAACGUUGGCCUGGUGGGCUGGGGGUGGAUAUGAGCCAUCACUAGCCUUGGGAGCCAGGAUGGUGACUCAGAGGUCAAGCCAUGCCCUAGACUGACAGCAGAAGAAGUCUUCUCAAGUCCUGACUGCACAAUUAUCUCCCCAGGGUUCUCUCCAUGUGGCCACUACCAACAUCCCUGUAUGAGACUCAGCUGAAGUAGGUGAUCUUCAAGGC
RNAcentral lists this long non-coding RNA (4462 nucleotides) under Homo sapiens (human). Its description in RNAcentral is "long non-coding RNA NONHSAT149951.1". The record is from RNAcentral. Lineage: Eukaryota; Metazoa; Chordata; Mammalia; Primates; Hominidae.